AGAAUUUAAUAUCCAAGAAAAAAAUGCUGAAUAUGUAAAGUAUCAUUUAUUAUAGAAUCAUUUAUUUACAUACAAUAUAUAUACAGUGGUACUACUAAACUAAAUUAAUAACUAGCUUAAAUCUAAAAUAGGCCCUUGAGGCAUUGUACCCAGGAUGCUGGCGGCAUUUCCUCGCUGUAUCGCAAUGCUGAUACGUUGUACGUAAAAUGAUAUACCAAUUAUACGGGUUACAUCUUAAAAAAGAUGAUUAUCUUGGAAAGGAUACACAGUUUCAGGAACGCGUGAAAAUCUAAAGUUUAAAUAAAAGAGAAGAAAUUUCCGAUGGCUGUGGGAAUGUAACAAAAUUUUAAAGUAGCGAUUUAAGAUAAUCAAUCAUCUACAAACACGUUUUCGGCCACAGCGAAUACGUUCACCACUAAGAAUGUCGGUGGUGCGCUCUCAAAGUAAAAAAAAAGAGUUCAAUGGACUGGCACUGGUUUCACCAAGAACGAUGAGCGAGAAGCGAUUGGAGCUACAAAAUAAGAAAUGACUUGGCGCGCGAGCAGCGAGAAGCGAGUAUAGUUCUGUUGCAACCGGAAAGCGAUGAUCACACGGCAAAUCAAAUCCUGAAGACUAUAGCAGCCACGUCAAUGAAAGGGAGUGCGCAAAAGAAUUGCACGACCUGAUCCCAGCUUUCCCUUUCCGGACGUCCAGGCGCGAGGAGCGAAUGCACCCGUUCGUUGUUAAUAUUCCAUUUGUCCGCACAAAACGAUUUGCCUCAUCUUUUUUGGUAAGGACGAUUAAGGAAUGGAAUGCGCUUCCGUCAUCUGAGUUUCCUGGGAAAUUUGACCUCGGUCUCUUUAAAGCAAGAGUGAAUAGGCUAUUACUUACUGAGCCGGUAAGCUCCAUCAUCUUAGGCUCUGUUUUCACUUUCCAUCAGGUGUGACUAGAGCCAAUGCCCGUUCAGUUUAUUAUAAAAAAUAUAUAUAC
This is a long non-coding RNA of Cydia splendana, 969 nucleotides long. RefSeq lists it as uncharacterized. The transcript is spliced from 5 exons. The record is from RefSeq and is a predicted model, not a curated record. Lineage: Eukaryota; Metazoa; Arthropoda; Insecta; Lepidoptera; Tortricidae.